Long non-coding RNA from Scylla paramamosain (green mud crab), 439 nucleotides. RefSeq lists it as uncharacterized. Lineage: Eukaryota; Metazoa; Arthropoda; Malacostraca; Decapoda; Portunidae. The transcript has 4 exons. The record is from RefSeq and is a predicted model, not a curated record.
GUCUCUCGCCAACCUAGCCCAUUGUCAACAAAUCCGUGGCAGGAGGUGGGCGGGUCAGGGAAUGUGAACAAUGCGUGAUAUCAGUGUGUGACGGUACCACGGAUCGCAUACAAGCCUCCCCACUGCUAAAGUACUGUAGUGUUCCGUGGUGUGCGUGUGACAACAGUCGAGCCGGACAGUUGUGCAGCGUUGGCCGUGAUUGCGAGGCUGCAUUGUGUUGCUUAUGGCAGAAAAGUGUUUAGCAGUGCUGAGAGUAACUCGCCGCGCAUGAACCACAACACACUGGAGCUACGACUGCAGGCACGUGAGUACUGAGUGUUGCGCGACUCACGGAGCACCUAACCCGAGGAGGCCUUGCAAGUAGAGCAACAAUUUUCAUUAAUACUUCCCGUUUUCUUUGAGUGUUAUCUGUUGCCACUUGUACUCAAAGCGUGGUUAA